Molecule: transfer RNA, 85 nt
Filed under: Candidatus Mancarchaeum acidiphilum
Lineage: Archaea; Nanobdellati; Microcaldota
Description: tRNA-Leu
Rfam family: tRNA
About the family: Transfer RNA (tRNA) molecules are approximately 80 nucleotides in length. Their secondary structure includes four short double-helical elements and three loops (D, anti-codon, and T loops). Further hydrogen bonds mediate the characteristic L-shaped molecular structure. tRNAs have two regions of fundamental functional importance: the anti-codon, which is responsible for specific mRNA codon recognition, and the 3' end, to which the tRNAs corresponding amino acid is attached (by aminoacyl-tRNA synthetases). tRNAs cope with the degeneracy of the genetic code in two manners: having more than one tRNA (with a specific anti-codon) for a particular amino acid; and 'wobble' base-pairing, i.e. permitting non-standard base-pairing at the 3rd anti-codon position.
Source: RNAcentral
GCAGGGAUGGCGGAGCUUGGUCAAACGCGAUGGACUCAAGAUCCAUUGGCUUAGGCCUGCGGGAGUUCAAAUCUCCCUCCCUGCA